Callithrix jacchus (white-tufted-ear marmoset) is the source of this 1174-nucleotide non-coding RNA. NCBI's taxonomy places the organism in Eukaryota, Metazoa, Chordata, Mammalia, Primates, Cebidae. The record is from RefSeq and is a predicted model, not a curated record.
AUGGAAAGAGUCCGCCGUUUGGAAGAGAAUCUGGACAAUAUCAUUCAGGACAUAGGCACGGAAGCAGUAAUUGACAAAUGGAAUCUAAUUAAAGAGCUUCUGCACAGCCCAAAGAUAAUCAGAAACACAAGUCGUUCUGCCUUCAUUGCCCUGAUUUCUCCCAGACGCCGCGAGGUCGCCGCCACGCCCAAGAAUAAAAGUAAAGGAGGUAAAAAUAGACGCAGAGGUAAGAAUGAGAAUGAAUCUGAAAAAAAGAGAAUUGGUAUUCAAAGAGGAUGGUCAGGAGUCUGCUCAGGUAAUCAAAAUGUUGGGAAAUGGACGACUAAAAGCAAUAUGUUUCGGUAGUGUAAAGAGGUUAUGUCACAUAGGAGGAAAACUGAGAAAAAGGGUUUGGAUACAUACCUCGGACAUUAUAUUGGUCGGUCUCGGAGACUACCAGGAUAACAAAACUGAUGUAAUUUUAAAAUAUAAUGCAGGCGAAACUAGAAGUCUGAAGGCACAUGGCGAGCUUCCAGAGCACGCUAAACGCUCAUUAAUGAGACGGAUACAUUGGAGAUGAUGAUGAAAUUCAGUUCGAUGAUACUGGAGAUGAUAAUGAAGAUAUUGAUGACAUCUAAAUUGAACUCAACAUUUCACAUGCCAUCUUUUCUGAAGAUUGUCCUACAUUUGGAUUUUGGCCGUGACAAAGAGGACUAAAAUUUCAUUAGCGUGAAUGCAAUUUGUUAAAGCAGACUGAUUUCUUUCUAAAGUAUUUUGUUUCUUUUAAAAGAGUUAAUGCUGAUUUAUCUUAAGUGAGAUGUUAAGCCCACUUUCUUAUUUUAAUGCAAUGGAGCUUAUGGGUAGAAGACCACAUCUACUAUUAAAAAAAAAAAAAUGCAUUGCUGCUUUUCCUACCACUUCCGAUAAGGAAAUGGAUGUUUUUGAAGAAAUUAUUUGUCUUGUCCUCAUUAUAGAAUAUGACUAAGCCCUGGCCUCCUUGAUUGUAUAGAGUCGUUGUGCAUAUUCCAAUUACCUAGAUAUUUCCUUGAGAUUUUGAUGCAAUUUGAGGGAGGCAGAAAUCUGCAUUUGAAGUAAAAAAUAAGUCUGUUUGUCAUAUUUAAGUAUCCAGUGGCUAUUUUUAUACUGAUUUGGAUAUCGCGUGUUGUUUUCAUAAUCGUAUUUUGCCACCACAAAC